UCCCCAGUGGCUCAGUGGUAAAGAAUCUGCCUGCAAUGCAGGAGACCUGGGUUCGAUCCUUGACUUGGGAA
RNAcentral lists this transfer RNA (71 nucleotides) under Bos taurus (domestic cattle). It matches the Rfam family "tRNA". Rfam says of the family: Transfer RNA (tRNA) molecules are approximately 80 nucleotides in length. Their secondary structure includes four short double-helical elements and three loops (D, anti-codon, and T loops). Further hydrogen bonds mediate the characteristic L-shaped molecular structure. tRNAs have two regions of fundamental functional importance: the anti-codon, which is responsible for specific mRNA codon recognition, and the 3' end, to which the tRNAs corresponding amino acid is attached (by aminoacyl-tRNA synthetases). tRNAs cope with the degeneracy of the genetic code in two manners: having more than one tRNA (with a specific anti-codon) for a particular amino acid; and 'wobble' base-pairing, i.e. permitting non-standard base-pairing at the 3rd anti-codon position. The record is from Rfam by way of RNAcentral. Lineage: Eukaryota; Metazoa; Chordata; Mammalia; Artiodactyla; Bovidae. RNAcentral also lists the same sequence under 5 other names.